This 484-nucleotide ribosomal RNA is filed under the name uncultured bacterium. Its description in RNAcentral is "partial 16S ribosomal RNA". It matches the Rfam family "Bacterial small subunit ribosomal RNA", at positions 29 to 507 of the family's 1533-position model. The record is from RNAcentral.
AUUGAACGCUGGCGGCAUGCUUUACACAUGCCAGUCGAACGGCAGCGCGGGCUUCGGCCUGGCGGCGAGUGGCGAACGGGUGAGUAAUACAUCGGAACGUGCCCAGUAGUGGGGGAUAGCUCGGCGAAAGCCGGAUUAAUACCGCAUACGACCUGAGGGUGAAAGCGGGGGAUCUUCGGACCUCGCGCUAUUGGAGCGGCCGAUGGCAGAUUAGCUAGUUGGUGGGGUAAAGGCCUACCAAGGCGACGAUCUGUAGCUGGUCUGAGAGGACGACCAGCCACACUGGGACUGAGACACGGCCCAGACUCCUACGGGAGGCAGCAGUGGGGAAUUUUGGACAAUGGGCGAAAGCCUGAUCCAGCAAUGCCGCGUGUGUGAUGAAAGCCUUCGGGUUGUAAAGCACUUUUGGCGGGAACGAAAAGGACUGUGCCAAUACCACGGUUCGAUGACGGUACCCGCAGAAUAAGCACCGGCUAACUACGUG